CGAUGUGUACUAGUAGCUUAGCUUGUACUUGUUGCUGAGACCUGAGAAAUCAUAUAAUUAUUAUUUAGCCCGGCCGGCCUGGUGCAGGCGGGCGUGUGCAUAUAUAUCCAUGGAUCGGGAAACGACGACGAUGGAGAGACGACGAGAGGCAGGCAUGCAUGCAUGCAUGCAUGGCGACGAUGAGAUGAGAUAGAUCAGGAGGAGCACUGGAAUCCCGAGGGGACGCGCCUGCCGCAGUAGUUGACGAGGAGGCUGAGGUUGAUGGGGAGGUUGAGGUUGAUGCCCAGGAUGUUGGCUCGCAGCGCGGUGCAGAGACACACCGCCGCCUCAAGGUCCGCCAGCCCCUGGAUCAGCGUGCAGCACGGCGUCCUCGGCGGUGUCCCCAGGUUCACGUUGAUCAGCCCGUUCAGCACGUUGGCGCACACGCCCAACUUCAGCGUGUCCACAGGGCAACGACCGCGCGUCCCGCCGCCGCCGCCGCCGCCGCCGCCGCCUCCUCCGCCGCUCCCUCCUCCACCACUGCCGCCCCCACCGCUCCCUCCGCCGCCUCCGCUCCCACCACCACCAGAUCCUCCGCCUCCCCCGCCUCCACCUCCCCCGCCACCACCGCCUGGUGGACUAGGGCAGGAGCCGCCGCACCUGCAGCCACAUGCGUCGGCGAAACCGAACAAGAGGAGGUUCAGGGCCAGCAGCGAGGCCACCAAGGCCACUUUCUUCGCCAUCUCGCUACCACCACGUACUCCUACGUACGUACGCAGCACACAGCAGUCGUAGCUUGGUUUCUAGCGUACCUGCAGAUCAGACUGCAGGUCGCUAGUGUGUGUGGUACGGUGUGGGUGUGUCUCUGCUGAUCUGCUGCCUGGAACUGCAACUUGUGAGCGGAUCGCAGCAGCUUGCUGGGGGUGCUAGCUAUUUAUAGCCGGCCGAAGAGCACAGCGCAGCAGGAGCCCUAUUAUGAUGAUUAGUACUAGUAUUAAUUAUAUAGCUAGCUAGGCGACGAGCAUCAUGUGAGGGUACAAGAGAUGAUCGAGAUGUAUAUCGACACGGCGGACGAGUUGCCUCUAGCUAGAAUGAAGUGUAUAGUACUAGUAUACCGUCGCAGACUGUAUGUGCGUAGAAUAUAUGGACAGUACGGAUGGUCAUCGAUCAGGGCUCAUGCAUAGUCAGUCUUCUGAAUGAUAGAAAAGCUAGGCGCGCGGUGAGUAGCAGCCAGUGCGUGGUGUCGGCUUGAGCAUAUGGCACGGCGUGACCUACAACAUCCGGUCCUAGAAAGGUGAAAAGCUAGCUAGCUGGCACGAGGAAGAAGACAAUGGGGUGGGCUUUGGAAGCUUGUGUUUGUGUCCCGGCCGGGUGUGUCACGUUAUAGUGCUUUGGAAAGACGGGUGUACUGCAUGCAUGCAUGCUUUGCAAUUGCCAUGGCUACAGCACUCACUGCACAGUCAUCAUCACUUAUUAUUAGCUUGUAGUAGUGGUGCUGUAAAGCAGAAAGUAGCUAAGCUUUCAUUUCACAAUCAGCCACACGUACGUACAGUGAAAUAGCAAGAAGAACUCCGAUGUAUCCUCCAGCAGGCAGCAGCUCUGUCUCUGUCGUCGUCUGUGUGAUCGAUCAACUUUCCAGAUGGCCGGCCGGCCGGAUGGCAUGCAUCAUUUUGAUUCACACUGCAUGCACUGGUGGCCGCUAUAUAUAUCAGAAUAAUCACGCAUAUGCCAUGGUGUUUUACCAGCAGUAGGUAGGUGCCGGUGGUGGUGCAGGUCGCAGCUAGCUGUGUAUGUCGAAAUUGCAUGGCAUGCAUGGUGUGUGGUGUGUGUGUGUGUCAUGCCAUCAUGCAUGCAUGGCUAAUAGAUUAACUGUUGGCUAUCGCGUGUCAGCAUGACAUAUCUCGAUCGCGAGCGAGCAGAGCAUGGCAUGCUUAUGCUCCGCCGGUCCGAGACCGAUCAUUCAUCACUGUUCAGUCACUACGCCGUAUUUGGAUGGAAAAUAUAUACAGAUCGAUUUCGGUCAAACAAUAACAAGAAGAUACUUCUAGAUAAAGGCGUAUUUAGUUAGAGAUGUUAAUGUUUAACAGGUAUUAUACUAUUUUUUAUUUAAUAAUUAAUGUCUAAUAUAUAUAAACUAAUUAGAGUUAAAAAGUUUAUCUCAUAAUUUAUUUUUUAGCUAUGUUUUUAGUUUUAUAAAUAGUCUAUAUUAAAUACUUUAUACUUGUGUGGGAGUUAAAGUUUAAGAACGCCGAUGAAACAGCUAGCACCUAAAUAUAUAUAAGACUACACGUAGCUAUAUAUUAGUACUGUAGAGGACUUUCCCGGGCUCACACUGCUGGCUGCACAUGCGACGCCUACACGUACGACAAAUGCGAAAUGAACGCGGUGGAUAGGUGUCUGCGUGCAUGCAUGCCUGCCGUGCGCACGACUGACGUACCUGACAAAGAUAAUCCAUUUGCAUGAUCGGUGCGUUUUACGGAUGGAUGUGCAUGUAUAUAUGUUCGUCCACCGCGCGCGCGGAUCCGAUGAUGGAGAUGCAUGCAUGGAUCCACUGCACUGCACAUGCCGCGCCGCGCGCCGCCGUUCAGCCGGCGCAGUAGUAUUAGUAUGGUCGCAUGCACGCGGUUUACGACGAACGACGACACGGAUCAUGCAUGCGUCUUCCUAGCUGGCCUGGGGAAUCCGCGCAUUCCAUCAUUCCAUGCACGGACCCGGAUUAUACUCUCACAAUCCAUCGGUACGUACGGUGAGCAUGCACGCACACGCACGACUACACGUCGCCACCACCACCUUCAUAAUGACAUGAGGAGCCCUGUAAAUAAUAAUACUAAUACAUCGAUGGUGCGCUAGCCUAAUCAGGACGCAAAGUAGCAGGCACCGCAUGCGCACCUCUCUGAGAUUGUUAAUUAGUCCCAUACAUACGUGCAUCCAUGCCGACACAAGCAGCUUAGCACCCGCACGUACGAGAGAGCUAGUCGUGGUAUGGUACAAAUUUUAGGCGCGUAACGGCGCAAGUACGGUCAACCUCGGAAAUCCUGCCGGAUUUCGAUAUAAUUUCGCCACGAAGGGUGCAUGCAUGCAUGCAUAUAUGCAUGACAGUGUGUGUAUGUGGCCAUGCAAACAUAACUACUUUAAAAAUUUAUCUAGGACAAGGGACCAAUGUCUACUAUAGUUCUAACAACGCUCCACGGACCCUAACGACGACGCUCCACCGACGUUUUCACGUAGUUCGAUCGGACAAUUACAUCAACUAACUGUAAUGAAAAAUUAAUGCUUUGUUACUGUCAGCACCUCUACAGCAAAACCGAAGAAAACAACAACGCCAACUCAAGCGAACCGUGAUGGAGCGACAAGGCCAAGAAGGCCCAACCCAAGAAUCUGUGGACUAGAGUAGGCUAAGUAGGCGAAAGGCCCUGCGUGGCCCAAUUCAGAGGUGGUGCUGCGGCUACCUCUUGUAACAGCAGAGAAAGAGAAAGGAGACUCGAACCGGAACUUAGUUCUGAACCAUGCCCGAGGGCGACGGCAGCGGCGGCGAGCUCGGCGAUCUUGUUGAUCAGACAGAGUUACCGACUGAUGUUCCUCGUAUCGUUACCAUACACUAUCAAUACUUAGAGUCCGGUUACAUCUAGUAUCAGAUCUGCCUUGAUCCACCAAUUUUCCCCCAAAAAUUUUCUCUCUUCCUUUGUUGUUCGAUCUGGCACCGUAAUCCCCGACGGUAGGCUCUCUUAGCGAUUUGCCCUAGUGGUGUCAAUUGCUCGAAUCCAUAGGUCCGUACCGAGGUUGGUGUGUUCGACAGCAGUGGUAGAGUCGGAAUCCUGGCCACCCAUCCCUACCUCACCCGAAGACACAUGGCGAUGACCUCUCCUGAAGAACAGCUGGGCAAAAUUUUGGCACUGCUGAGUGAGAAUUCGAAGGGCAUCAAUGACUUGAAGACCUCCAUGUCGGAGAUGUGUACACUGCGCAUGGAGAUCCUUACCUAGAAGCCUCAGGUCAACAGUCGUGUGCACGAGUUAGAGCACACGGUCUUGGACCUGGGCGAGCGCAUUGAGAAGGUGUUCGAGAAUCUGCCUCACGCUCAACUCGUCGACGCCUCUACCAAUGAGCAGCUCGACGCUUAGCCUUCCCUCAACGACACGGUUCGUGAAGAUCACUUCACCCCAUAGGGCGUCAAGGUGUUAAGCUCCGCUCAUCUAGAGCUUCACCCGCCAUGGGUGGCAUCUAGGUCGUUAGACCACAGCAAGAGCAACAACCACUGGGGCACUGCUUUCGGGACGGUGUAUAUCACCAUCUCGGAACCGGCCCCGAUCAUAGGUGCGACACCCCCUCUAAAACCUUCCUUACUUCAGUCUAAAUUGGGUGGCUGUGUGCACGGUGAUUAGCGUUUCUAUCCUAUUUACUCAAACUAUCCCACACCAUUCCCCUGAUGUUGAAUUUCAUAAAUUUGAUGGGUCAAAUCCUCGCCUGUGGAUCACUCGUUGUGAAACCUAUUUUGAUGUGUGUCAAACUGACCCAACCUUGUGGGUUCGCCUUGCAACCAUGUGUUUUACCGGUUCUGCUGCCUCGUGGUUCCAAACCAUGAAAUCCACUAUCACUAAUAUGUCCUGGGAAUCCUUUGUCAUAGCCGUUUGUAAUCAAUUUGACAGAGACGAACAUAACCACCUCCUUCGCCAUUUUUUCCACAUCAAACAGAGUACCAUAGUUUCUGACUAUGUCGAACAAUUUAGUGACUUAGUCCACCAAAUCCUUGCUCACGACCCAUCAUUCUCAACAUCUGUCAUUGUUAAUCGCUUUGUUGAUGAUCUCAAGAAAGAUAUCCGUUCUGUUGUUAUGAUGCAUCAUCCAUUAGACCUCGAUACUGCUAGUGCAUUGGUAUUUUUGCAGGAGGAUGCCAGCCUUUAAGAUGGUUGGAGAUUGGCCAAUAUUAUGCCAAGAAGAAUUCACCUGAAUCUCUCAAGUCAGCAGUUUCAAAUGCUAAAUCUCUUGAAGAGAAGAAGCCUCCUGAUAUUACAAGAGCCAAAACUAAUGACAAACUGGUAGCUCUCAAGAAGUACAGGCGUGCCCAAGGACUAUGUUUCAAAUGUGGCGAGAAAUGGGGACCCAACCAUAAGUGUCCAGCUCAUAUUUCAUUCCAUGCUAUUGAAGAAGUCUAGAAUUGGAUUAGUGACGAGGAAGAACCAAAAACACAGAUACUUGAUGAUAAUUCUGAUUCAGGGGAAGAUCUUAUGACACUUUUUGCACAAGCUGUCAAUGGUACAGAAGGUUUCCAAACAAUGAGAAUUAGGGGACAUUUGAAUGGUAAAGACGUUUUUAUGCUCACUGACUCAGGUAGUUCUCAUAGCUUUGUGGAUGACAAAGUUGCAGAUCACAUUCAACCAUGGCAACCACUACAAAUAUCAGUUAGGGUGGCAGUUGCCAAUGGAGGUGUUAUCAGUUGUACUCGCGAGUUUAACAAACAAUUAUGGGUUGUGCAAGGUUACUCACUCAAUACUACCUUCAAAAUCAUCCCAUUGAGUGGCUAUGAUGUCAUACUAGGAAUGGAUUGGCUAGAAUCCAAUAGUCCCAUGGAAAUCAAUUGGGUAGACAGAUGGUUACAGUUUCAAUACCAAUGCCAAGUGAUCAAGCUACAAGGAUUAAUCUCAAAACCCGUACUGGGCUCUUCAGUUUCAUCCCUACAAUUGCAAGCAUUUGAAAAGAAUUAAUCCAUUCUAUAUGCAGUUGAGCUACAUUCUAUUGCCCCAGCUGAAAAUCCUAUUGAGGAGGAAUUACCAACAAAACUCAAGCAACUCUUAAAACAGUUUGCACCUAUCUUUGAACCACCUACCAAUUUGCCACCUAUCAGACUGGGAGAUCAUAAAAUUCCCCUUAUGGAUGGUGCACAACUUUUCUGUUUACGCCCAUACAGAUAUAAUCCUGCUCAAAAAACAGAAAUUAAAGCUCAAAUCAAAGAUAUGUUAGACAAAGGGUGGAUUCAGCAGAGCACCAGUCCUUACUCUUCUCUAGUGCUUUUAGUCACAAAGAAGACAGGAGAUUGGCGCCUUUGUGUAGACUAUAGACGAUUGAAUGCAUUUACAAUCAAGAACAAAUACCCAUUGUCCAUUAUAGAAGAACUGUUAGAAUAGCUCCAAGGUGCUACUUGGUUCACAUCUCUUGACCUUUGCUCUAGGUUUCAUCAGAUACGUAUGGCUGCCCGUGAAGAAUUUAAAACAACAUUUCAGAUAUAUAGUGGACACUAUGAGUACAGGGUCAUGCCAUAUGGAGUCACUGGGGGUCCUACAACAUUCCAAACAAUCAUGAACACGGUGUUACACCCAUUGUUGAGGAAAUGUGCAGUGGUCUUUAUUGAUGAUAUACUAAUUUACAAUAAAUCAUGGCCUGAACAUUUGGAGCAUAUCAAGGUUGUUUUGACUCUUUUACUCCACCAUGGCUUCCAUAUUAAACUUACUAAAUGCAAUUUUGCUAAAAGAUAGUUGAGCUAUUUGGGUCAUAUUGUCAGUGAACAAGGUGUAGCAACUGAUCCCACAAAAAUCCAAACAAUCAAGAACUGGCUUCAACAUGAGAAUGUCAAGGAAUUGCGUAGUUUCCUUGGUAUGGCAGGCUAUUACAGGUGUUUUGUACCACAAUUUGGCAUGAUCAACAAACCACUCACAAAUAUUUUGAAGAAGGGAACUAUAUUCAUCUGGACAUCUACCACUAGGACUUCAUUUCAAGCACUGAAACAUGCACUUAUAUCAGCUCUAGUGCUAGCAAUGCCAAAUUUUGAAUUGCCAUUCAUUAUUGAGACAAAUGCAUCUUCUCAUGGCAUAGGAGCAGUCUUACAACAGCAGGGACACCCAAUUGCUUAUGUCAGCAAAGCCUUAGGAGUCAAGGCAUAAGGACUUUCCACAUAUGAAAAAGAGUGCUUAGCAAUAUUAAUGGCAAUUGACCACUGGAGGCAUUUCCUACAAACAUCGCCUUUCAUUAUACUUACUGAUCAACAAAGCUUGACACACCUUGAUGAUCAAAAACUAUCCACACCAUGGCAGCAUAAAGCACUCACAAAACUAAUGGGCAUGACAUACAAGAUUAUCUACAAAAAAGGCACUGACAACAAGGUUGCUGAUGCUUUAUCCAGACUCCAAAAAUCACCAGUUUAUGAUAUUUCUGCUAUUUCUGUCCUCAAACCACUUUGGUUGGAAGAUAUUCAGAAGACUAAUGAGCAGGACCCUAAUUGCAGUAAACUUCUAACUGAACUUGCUAUAUCUUCUCCAUCCAAUCAGUACUCAUUACAAGAUGGACUUAUCAAAUACAAGGGCAGUUUAUGGAUUGGCAAUAGUCAACAAAUGCAGCAAAGAAUUAUGUCAGUAUUGCAUAAAAGUCCAAUGGGAGGACACUCUAGCUCUGAAGUCACAUAUAAGAAAGUUAAGCAGUUAUUUGCAUGGCCCAAACUCAAAUAGACAGUACAACAGUUUGUUGAGCACUGCACUAUCUGUCAACAAGCCAAAAAUGAAAGAGUAGCAUACCCUGGUCUAUUGGCUCCCUUACCAUUUCCUAAAGGAGCUUAGUAAAUAGUAACUUUGGACUUUAUUGAAGGUUUACCCAGGUCCUCUUCAUUCAACUGCAUCUUAGUGGUGGUAGAUAAAUUCUCCAAGUAUGCCCAUUUUAUACCACUAUCUCACCCAUUCACUGCCCUGCAAAUUGCCAUCAUAUUGUUGAACAACAUUUUCAAACUUCAUGGCUUACCCCACAAACAAUGAUAUCAGACAGGGACAAGGUGUUCACUAGCACUAUCUAGCAAGAAUUGUUCAAGCUUGUGGGAAUAGACCUGAGGAUGAGCAGUGCAUAUCACCCACAAACAGACGGACAAACGGAGAGGGUCAACCAGUGUUUGGAAACAUAUCUUCAUUGCUUUGUGCAUGCCUGCCCCACAAAGUGGUCUCAAUGGUUAUCAUACUGGUAUAAUACCUCCUUCCACUCUUCUUUGGGACAAACUCCUUUUACAGUCCUCUAUGGAUAUGAGCCUCGUCAAUUUGGCAUUGACAUGUCCCAAGCUGUUCAGUCUGCUGAUCUCACUAAAUGGCUACAAGAUCGUGAAUUACUACAACAACUUGUCCGACAACACCUUAUUCGGGCUCAAUCUAAAAUGAAGGUACAAGCUGACAAACACCACACUGAUAGAGUAUUCAAUGUGGGUGAUUCAGUAUAUCUCAAAGCACAACCUUACGUUCAAACAUCUCUAGCUCCUCGCUCUUCCAACAAAUUGGCAUUCAGAUUCUUUAGACCAUUCAUCAUCACUGAUCGUGUUGGCCCAUCUGCAUAUCGCCUGAAACUGCCAUCAGAAUGUCUCAUCCAUCCGGUCCUUCAUGUAUCAAUGCUGAAGAGAGAUGUUCUAGCAAACAAUCAGGUUCAUGAGCUUCCUAACUUUGAACAUGAGUUGCAUGUUCCUGAAGCUAUACUUGAUCAGCGUCUCAAGCGUGACCGUGUGAAAGGUCCUUGUUUGGUUUUGGUAAUUGAGUGACAACUUAGGUGGACUAAUAGUGUUUAUGUGAGAUACACAGGAGAUUAGUCCACAGGUGAUUAUAUGAUGAUGGAGGAGCUCAUUGCAUAUGAGACAUGACAUGGAGUCAUGUGACCAAGGUGGAGAAGAUCAAGAUGAGGCUUGGCUUGAUGGACCGGUUGCAAGAGUGAAGGGCAAGUCGAAGGCUUUGAAGCGAGGGACCACGUGUGACGGUGAAGCUUGAGCAAGACUUGGCGCCGAUGGACCGAGGCAACGGUGAAGAGCAAGUGAGGUCAAGAUCGAUGAACCAAUACAGUCACGUGAUGAUAUGAAGUGGAUCAUAUCAUUUGGUGAUUGGUUGGUGCAUGUGUUGCAUCAACAUUGGAGGAGACGGAAUGGAAUGCGCAAGGCAAAGGUAUAACCUAGGGCUUUUCCAUUUCACCGGUCAUAGGUGUGUAGAGAAGUUUAUGACCGGAUUUAGGAUAGAUGGCCGUACUAUCAAGAGGGGCAAACUUGUUUGCAUAUCGGUCAUCUAGUGCCACUUGAGCAAUCUAACUUUGCAUACGUGUUAAGAUCGAGUGGCGUGACAAGUUGAGAGGCUAACUCCUUUGGAAAAUUGUUUGUGAAAAUGCUAACACACAUGCACAUGGUGGUGUACACUUGGUGGUGUUGGCACAUUUACAAAGGAGGUGGAGUUCCUAGGGUUGAGAGGGGUGUGGGUUCCUCAAGCUCGGCGGGAUUCGACGCUUUUGAGAAAAUUAAGUGCAUAUUUUCUAUUGCGCCGGUGGGAAAUUUGGAGAAAUCGCGGGAGUGUUUCUCAGUAGGAAACACUCACCGGACGCUCUGCGCGGAGGCACCGGAUGCUGGCCUUUAGCGUCCGGUGUGCUGUCGGAUGCAGCAGAGUGCACCGGACGCACCGGAGAGAGUCCGGUGCUCAGCGUCCGGUGUGCGGGCGGUUUGGCGACCCUCUCUGCGCAUGAGUCCGGUGAGCACCGGACGCUCAGGGUGCGUCCGGUGGCUUGCGUCCGGUGACCGUGCGAGUUUGCGGAGCUCUCUGCGCACGAGUCCGGUGUGCACCGGACGCGUCCGGUGUGGACUAGUUGAGCGUCCGGUGGUGCUGUGUCAGGCGCGAGCGCGUGGUAGCCGUUGGCGGCAACGGUCGACUUCAAACGGCUAGUGACACGUGGCUGACACCUGAGCACCGGACGCUGCGGGUUGAGCGUCCGGUGGCUCCCUGUGAGCGUCCGGUGCCCACGUGUUUUGCCCAGUGAAGGGGCAACGGCUAGUUUAGCCCUUGGGGCUAUAAAUAGAAGUGGUGGCCGGCCUUGGCCGGUGCGGAGCACCCUUGGGACUUAGUGUCCAUGCUUGGGGAGUGCUAGUGAAGCCUCUAACUCACAUAUGCUUGAUAGUGAUCAUCCGAUUGUGUGAGUGAGCGAUUCUAGUGCGUUGCAUUGAGAGAUUGCAUUGAGUGGCACUAGGUGUUCAUGUUGCAAGCCGGUGGUGCUUGUUACUCUUGGAGGUUGCCACCUCCUAGACGGCUUGGUGGCUUGUGACUCCAUCGAAGCACGCAAGGAGAUUGUGUGGUGCUCCGGAGAAGAGAUUGUGAGGGGUACGGUGCUCACCCCGCGGGGAUCGCGAAGAGCAACUUUAUUGGAUCGUGAGUGUCAUUGAGCUACCUCACUUGUGGGUAGGUUCUUGCAGCGUCCUAGUGGGGACGAGGUUCGUGUAACACCUCUUAGCCGCCGAACCACCAAGUGUUGGUCGACACAACGGGGACGUAGCUUGGUGGCAACCAAGUGAACCUCGGGAGAAAAUCAUCGUGUCAACUUUGUUCUUCCCAUUGGUUUGCAAGUCCCUAACACAAGCUUGUAUUUACAUUCUUAUAUUUGUGCUUGUGUAGUUGCUCUUGUAAUUAGUUAGCUUGUGUAGCUUGCUAGUUACCUUCUUGCUUUUGUAGCUAGAAGUAGUUCCCCUUGCGUGACUAAUUUGGUUUGUGUAACCUUGUUAGUCACAUUGCUUAGUUUGUGUAGAUAAGUAAGUUGCGCUCUCUAAUUUGGCAUUAGUUGCCUUGUUAUUGAGCUUGCUAGUGAGCUUAGGCUUUGUGCGCUUUGCCUCACUAGUUUGUGUAGGAGCUCCCUCCGUUUGUAAAGUACUAGUUGUAUAGGUUUGUGUGACCUUGCUCCUAGAAUUGUUUAGGUGAGCUCUUGCUAAGGUGGCACCUUGCUUGCUUGUUUAGGAUCUUUUCAAGGUGCUAGAGAACUUAGAUAGAGGGGUGUAGUCUUGGCUAGACCGAUAGUUUUAAUUCCGCAUUUGUUUCGGUUAGCCGGUGCGAUAAGUUUUAGAAAGGACUAUUCACCCCCCUCUAGUCCGCCAUCUCGACCCUUCACCGUGAACAAGCUAUUACUCAAGUGCUUGUCUGCUGGUCUGAUAUGCUAGCAUCGCUUGCGACCUGGGAAGACGAAGAAGCUCUACGUUAGCAAUUCCCACGCGCACCAGCUUGGGGGCAAGCUGGUUCUCAAGGAAGGAGGGAUUUUACUAUCAGCAAAGACUGAAGAAGACAACAACGCCAACUGAAGCGAGCCGUGAUGGAGCGACAAGGCCAAGAAGGCCCUACCCAAGAAUCUCUGGACCAGAGUGGGCUAAGUAGGCAAAAGGCCCUAUGUGGCCCAAUUCAGAGGUGGUGCUGUGGCUCCCUCUUGUAACAGCACAGAAAGAUAAAGGAGACUCGAACCGGAAUUGAGUUCUCAACCAUGCCCGAGAGCGACGGUGGCAGCGGCGAGCUCGGCGAUCUUGUUGAUCGGCCAGAGUUACCGACCGAUGUUCCUCGUAUCGUUACCAUACAUUAUGAAUACUUAGAGUCCGGUUACAUGCUUCUACUAGCAAAGAAGCACCAAAAUGAGUCCACAAAUAUUGAAACAAUUUCAAGCGACGCAUCAUAAGAGAGAGCAUGAUUUUACAAAACAAAAGUAGAACUAGCUAGUCUCAUAAUUUCAACCUAGAAUUGAGUUUCUAUAAAUUUUCUAAGACUAAUUUAGAUUUUUGGGGUUUAUAACUAGAUUAUUUUUCUAUGUAAAUAUAUUUAGAUAAGUUUUUAAUUUUUAAUAAAUUUUUAGAUAUUUUGAGAAAUAUUUUUAUUCUGAUUUACCUUUAUGAACUAUCAAUUUAGACCGAUUUACUUCCUCUAAGGUGGUGCCAUGUCACAUCAGCAUAAAUACUAUCAAAACUUCUUAGUGUGCAAAAAAGGGUUUUAAAAAGUUAAAGACAUAAAAGAUUCAGUUUUAUAGAUGAGAAUGAAGGUUUUAAAUCAAACACCUGCAAAAAACUUGAGUGGUGCCGAAAGCUGAGGUAGGGCCAGUCCAUGGGCCAAUUUUGCUAGAUAGAUUGGGCCACUUAGCACUAGGUUCUUCGAACCAUCUGGCCCAGACCUAUUGAAAGGUCCUUGUUUGGUUUUGGUAAUUGAGUGACAACUUAGGUGGACUAAUAGUGUUUAUGUGAGAUACACAGGAGAUUAGUCCAUAGGUGAUGAUAUGAUGAUGGAGGAGCUCAUUGCAUAUGAGACAUGACAUGGAGUCAUGUGACCAAGGUGGAGAAGAUCAAGAUGAGGCUUGGCUUGAUGGACCAGUUGCAAGAGUGAAGGGCAAGUUGGAGGCUUUGAAGCGAGGGACCGCGUGUGACGGUGAAGCUUGAGCAAGACUUGGCGCCGAUGGACCGAGGCAACGGUGAAGAGCAAGUGAGGUCAAAAUCGAUGAACCAAUACAGUCACGUGAUGAUAUGAAGUGGAUCAUAUCAUUUGGUGAUUGGUUGAUGCAUGUGUUGCAUCAACAUUGGAGGAGUUGGAAUGGAAAGCACAAGGCAAAGAUAUAACCUAGGGCUUUUCUAUUUCACCAGUCAUAGGUGUGUAGAGAAGUUUAUGACCGGAUUUAGGAUAGAUGGCCGUACUAUCAAGAGAGGCAAACUUGUUCGCAUAUCGGUCAUCUAGUGCCACUUGAGCGAUCUAACUUUGCAUACGUGUUAGGAUCGAGUGGCGUGGCAAGUUUGAGAGGCUAACUCCUUUGGGAAAAUGCUUGUAAAAAUGUUAACACACUUGCCCAUAGUGGUGUACACUUGGUGGUGUUGGCACAUUUGCAAAGGAGAAGGUGUUGGAGUUGAUUUUGUUCAACUUGAAGAAGAGAGAGAAGUUUUUCAGUGUUCUCUGGACAUUAGGAUGGCUUUUAGAUUGGAAUACUGCUUUGAUCCAUUUUGAUUUGGAUUGAGUAUUCAUAUAGAUUGGAUAGCACUCUAACUAAGCUUUCCAAAAUGUCUAAGAUCAUCGAAUUCAGAGUUCGGAGCUAGAAGUUAGCAACCUAACAAGUUGAACGCUGAGAGUCCGGUGCGCACAGGACGAGUCCGGUGGCAUAGGACGCUGAGAGUCCGGUGCGCACAGGACGAGUCCGGUGUCACCGGACGCUGAGAGUCCGGAGCUGCUGCAAGUUUGCGUUGCUCUCUGCGUAUGCGACCGGUGCGCACAGGAUGCGUCCGGUGUGAAGCAGCAGAGCGUCCGGUGCUACUGUUCCAGACACGCGUGCGUGUGCUAGCCGUUGGCGGCAACGGUCGAGUUCAAACGGCUAGUAACACGUGGCUGUUUUUAAAGCACCGGACGCACUGUUCCAGCGUCCGGUGCUACCUACAGUGAGUCCGAUGCUCACGACUUUUGCCCAGUGAAGGGGCAACGGCUAGUUUAGCCCUUGGGGCUAUAAAUAGAAGUGGUGGCCGGCCUUGGCUGGUGCAGAUGAAAGCCCAAGUUUGGUUUUGGUAAUUAAUGACACCAAGUUGCUAAUGCUUUGUGUUCAAGUGAUUUGAGUUAGGCAUAGCAACCCAUUUGAAGAAGGAGCAACGUGCCAUGAGUGAUGGACACAAGGUCUUAAAGAGAGAAGGCAUGAAGUGGAGAUCAUGGUGAUGGACAAGGAGUAAAGUGAUCAAGGCAAAGGUAUAAACAUAGGAUUUUGCUUUUGCCGGUCUAAGAUGAGUAGAGAAGUGAUUGACCGGAUUUAAGAUAGAUAGUCGUACUAUAAAGAGGGGAAAUCUUUAAUUGCAAUGGUUACCUAGUGCCACUAAGUAUGAGUCUAAUUUGCAUAUACCUAGCGCUUAGUGACGUGGUGAGUUGCAUGAGAAAGCCUAUAAAAAUGUUUGUGAAAUGCUAACACACAUGCACAUGGUGGUGUACACUUGGUGGUGUUGGCACAUUUGCAAAGGAGAAGGUGUUGAAGUUGAUUUUGAUCAACUUGGAGAAGAGAAAGAGACUUUUCGGUGUUAUCCGGACAUUAGGAUGGCUUUUAGAUUGAAAUACUGCUUUGAUCCAUUAUGGUUUGGAUGGAGUAUCCAUAUGGAUUGUAUAGCCCUCUGAGUAAGCUUUCUAAAAUGUCCAAGAUCAUCGAAUUCCGAGUUCGGAGCUAAAAGUUAGCAUCCUAACAAGGUUUGAGUUGGUGCUGAAAAUGCAGGACCGGAAGUUCCGGUGGGACUUCCGGUGGGACUUCCGGUGCGUGACCGGAAGUUCCGGUCAGCCUGACAGGAAGUUCCGGUUGGGCUGUGAGAGAUGCGCUCGCGUUUGAGAAAACACUUCCGGUGUCUGACCGGAAGUUCCGAUCCUUGACCAGAAGUUCCGGUCCAUAACCGGAAGUUUCGGUCCAUGUUUGGAAGUCCGCAUAGGAGCCUUUGCGCAUGGCCUCGCGUGUCAGGAUUCACUUCCGGUCUCUGACCGGAAGUUCCAGUGGGACUUCCGGUGGGUCCGAGUCUCUCACAAUGGUCAGAUCUGCUUGGCCACAACGGUCAGUUCUGCUUGGAUCGAGGCUCCAACGGUCAGAUCUGGUCGGACCGGAAGUUCCGGUCCCAGGCACCGGAACUUCCGGUGCCACACUAUAAAUACUCGUUUCCCUUGUUUCUAACCGGGUACUUCGCAUAGAACAUAUUUUUCUGACUUCCGGUGGCUCUUCCAAAGAGUAGAGAAAGCUCUCCCCUCCUCCUCUCUCACUCCCUAAGCUUUGUGCUCCAUUCAAGUGAGAGAUUGAGCUCUAGUGAUAGAUCUGAGAGCUUCAAGAGCAUCUCUUCCCUCUCCUCUCCAUCCCCAUAGCUUGGUGCUCUUUGAUGGCUUGGUGCAAGGGAGGUGUUGAGCUCGUGAUUGGAUAUUGUUUCGAGCCUCACCAAGUGAUUUGUGAGGGGUUCUUGAGCCUUCCCCGCGGGAGAUCGCAAUUGGCUACUCUAGUGGAUUGCUCGUGGCUUGGAGGAUCCCCAUCUUGUGAGUGGAUGUGCGGCACCCGCUGAGGGUUUGGCUUUGGAUUGCCAAUUAGCUCGUGAUCCAUCAAGUGGGUGUAUCGCCACAACGAGGACUAGCUUGCCGGGAAGCAAGUGAACCUCGGUAAAAAAAAAUCUUGUGUCAUCUCUUGCCGAGGACUCUCUUGUGAUUGUGAGUGAUUGGUUGGAUAUAUCUCUACUCUACAACGUUGGUAUAACAAUCACUCUCCACUCCUUUACUUACUUGUUUAUCUUGCUAGUUGUUUAGCUUGUUUAGUUUAGUCUUCUUGUUUAGGAGUGUAGCAAGUUUAUAGUUGUGCUUUCUUGUUGUAUCUUGUGUUUAGCUUUCUUGCUAGACUUGUGUAGGUGGCUUGCAUAGCUUAGUUGUGCUAGUGCUAGAAUAGCUUCGCCUUUUGUUUUACUAACCAACUUGUCUAGUUGAAGUUUGUAGAAAUUUUAAAUAGGCUAUUCACCCCCCCUCUAGCUAUUUGGACCUUUCAAGUGGUAUCGGAGCCGAGGCACCGUUUAUUUGAGGCUUAACAACCUACGGUGAAGAAAUGGCUCUUAGUUUGCAUAUCAACAACACCAAGAAGGCACCUUACUUUGAUGGCACCAAUUAUGCUUAUUGGAAGGUCAAGAUGACCGCCCAUCUCAAGUCAAUCAAUAGAGAAGUUUGGAAGGUGACCGAAAUAAAGUUUGAGGUUGCAAAUGAGAAUGCACCUACACCGGUUGAAGAAAAGAAGCUUCAAUGCAAUGACAUUGCAAUAAGUGCUCUUCAUGAAGCUCUUGAUGAUAAGACCUUUGAGCAAAUCAAGAACAUUGAGAUUGCUCAUGAUGCAUGGGCAAAACUAGAAGAAACAUUUGAGGGCACCAAGGGAACCAAGACCGCCAAGGCAUAUAUCCUCCAAGAAAAGUUCUCAAGCUUCAAGAUGCAAGAAGAUGAAAGUGUGCCGGAGAUGUUUCACCGGUUGCAAGUUAUUGUGAAUGAGCUCAAGGCACUUGGGGAAGAAGUGAAGGAUAGUCAAUUCUCUAUGAAGUUCUUGAGAAGCUUACCCAAGAGAUUUGACACUUUGAUCACCGUGUUAGUCAAGACAACACUUAGUGAAUCAACUCCCCAACAAGUGUUCCAAGAAGUGAUGACCGAUGAUGCUUAUAGAGAAGAUGAUGAGAAGGAUGAGUUGAUCAAAAAGAAGAAGAAGGAUGGUGAGAAGAAGGAUGAUGAGAAGAAGAAAAGUGUGGCAUUCAAGGCCUCCUCAUCCAAGGGCAAAGCCAAGAUAGAGUCAACAAGUGAAGAAGAAGCAAGCACUUGUGAUAGUGAUGAAGAUGAGGAGAUGGCUCUUCUUGUCAAAAGAUUUGGCAAGUUUAUGAAGAAGAAGGGCUAUCGGGCAAGAAGGAAGAAGAGCUCCUCCAAGAAGAAUGACCAUUCCAUGAGGUGCUUUAGAUGCCAUAGCAAGGAUCAUCUCAUCGCCAAGUGUCCUUAUGAUAGUGAUGAUGAAGAUGCUAUCAAGAAAGAAAGAAAGAAGCAAAAGAAGAAGCAAGAAAAGAAGGAAGGCUCAAACAAGAAGAAGGGUGAUGCCCAUGUUGCAACUUGGGAUAGUGAUGACUCCUCAAGUGAUGAGGAGAGCACCAAGAAGAAGGCGCAUGCUAGCAUUGCCAUUCAAGGAAAAAGCUCCAUCUUUGACACUCCAUCAUGCUUCAUGGCUAAGGCCACUAAGGUAUCAUCUAAUGAUGAGAGUGACCACGCUAGUGAUAGUGAUAGUGAUGAUGAUGAACCAACUAAAGAUGAACUAAUCACUAUGCUAGAAGAUUGCACUCAUCACUAUAAAGAAACUAGAAAGGAGUGCAAGGCCUUGCUUAAGGAUAAGAAAACCCUUGAGCAAGAACUUGAUGAGCUUAGAGCAUCUUAUGAGAGUCUAAAGGAAGACCAUAAGAAGCUUCAAAAGGCUCACACUAAGCUUGAAGAAGCUCAUUCCUCUCUAGUUAACAAAUGUGAAAAUGAGUCAACUAAAAUUGAGAGAGCUAAAACUUGCAACAUAGGCAUAACAUGUGAUAUCUUGAGUAAGCCUAUUAUUAUUGCUUCUACUAACCCUUCAUGUAGCACAUCUACAUCAUCCUCAUCUAAUAGUGAUGGUUUCACUUGUGACACCACACUAAAAGUUGAGAAUGAAAUUCUCAAGAAGGAGGUGAAAGAGCUCAAUCACACUUUAGCUAAGGCUUAUGGUAGUGAGGACCGCUUGCUUAUGUGCUUGGGUAGCCAAAGAGCUUCUCUCUAUAAAGAGGGAUUAGGCUAUAACCCCAAGAAAGGCAAGGCUGCCUUUGCUCCUCACAAGACUAGUUUUGUGAAGAAUAAUGGCCGGUAUUGCAAAGCUUGCAAGCAAGUUGGUCACCUAGAGCAACAAUGCAUGAACAAGAAACCCAAAGCCAAUGUAUCCUCAAUUAAGCUAAAUUCUUUCUAUGUGCUUACCAAGGAUACUAAAGGUGUUCAUGCUAAGUUCAUUGGUGCACCAUGGAUGGGCUCAAAGAAGAAAGCCAUUUGGGUACCAAAGAGCUUAGUUGCUAACCUUGGAGGACCCAAUCAAGUUUGGGUACCUAAAAAGAAUUGAUUUUUCCUUGUAGGUCAAUUACAAAGCCGGAGGAAGGCAUUGGGUGCUUGAUAGUGGGUGCACUCAACAUAUGACCGGGGAGUCUUGUAUGUUCAAAUCAAUUGAUACAAAUCAAAAUGGUGGCUUUGAUUCUAUCACUUUCGGCAACAACAAGAAAGGCAAGGUCAAAGAGCUUGGUAAAAUUGCUAUCUCAAAUGACAUGAGCAUAUCAAAUGUGUUGCUAGUUGAGAGCCUAGAUUUCAAUCUCUUGUCAAUUGCACAACUUUGUGACCUUGGUUUCAAGUGUAUCUUUGGAAGUGAUGAUGUUGAGGUUGUUAGUGUUGAUGGAUCAAACUUGAUAUUCAAAGGAUUUAGGCAUGGUAGCUUAUACUUGGUUGAUUUCAAUGAUAGUGACACUCAAUUGACAUCGUGCCUAAUUAGCAAAUCAAGUUUGGGUUGGUUGUGGCAUAGAAGGCUUGGUCAUGUUGGAAUGAAACAAUUGAACAAACUAUUGAGGCAUGACUUAGUUAGAGGCUUGAAGGAUGUCACUUUUGAGAAGGAUAAACCAUGUAGUGCUUGUCAAGCCGGAAAGCAAGUUGGAAAUGCACAUCCCAAGAAAAGUGAAAUGAGCACAUCAAAGGCAUUUGAGCUAUUGCACAUGGAUUUAUUUGGGCCAACAACAUAUACUAGCAUUGGUGGCAACAAGUAUGGAUUUGUGAUAGUAGAUGACUACACUAGAUACACUUGGGUGUUCUUCCUCUAUGACAAGAGUGAUGUUUGUGAUCUAUUCAAGUCUUUUGUCAAGAGGGUGCAAAAUGAUUUUGAAACCACUAUCAAGAAGAUUAGAAGUGACAAUGGUAGUGAAUUCAAGAACACAAGAAUUGAGGAAUUGUGUGAUGAUCUUGGCAUUGGACAUCAAUUCUCUCCAACAUACACUCCUCAAUCCAAUGGUGUAGUUGAAAGGAAGAAUAGAACCUUGAUUGACAUGGCUAGAUCAAUGCUUAGUGAAUACAAUGUUAGCCAUUCAUUUUGGAGUGAAGCUAUCAACACGGCUUGCUAUUGUAGCAACCGUCUCUAUUGCCAUGGGAAGCUUGGGAAGACACCAUAUGAGCUAUUGAAUGGAAGAAAGCCCAACAUUGCAUACUUUAGAGUGUUUGGUUGCAAAUGCUACAUUCUCAAGAAAGGCACUAGAUUGAGUAAAUUUGAGAAGAAAUGUGAUGAAGGGUUCUUACUUGGUUAUUCCACCACAAGCAAGGCAUAUAGAGUUUGGAACUUGACAAGUGGCACAUUGGAAGAAGUCCAUGAUGUUGAGUUUGAUGAAACCGAGGGAUCUCAAAAUGAAGCUCAAAAUCUUGAUGAUGUGAGAGGAGAGCAAUUGGCAAAUGCAAUGAAGAACAUGGAUGUAGGUGACAUAAGGCCAAGGCAAGUUGAUGAUGAUAAUGACAUUCACAUGAUCAAUCAAGAAGUGCAAAUUGAUACAAAUCAAGCUAAUACUAGUGGCUCUCAUGAUGAUGAUCAAAAUCAAAGUCAAGCAAGUGGAAGCAAUCAACUCCCAAUACUCCAACCUACAAGCAUAGCAAGGGAUCAUCCAUUGGAUCAAGUCAUUGGUGGUAUUCAAAGUGGUGUACAAACAAGAUCAAGACUAGCAUCCUUUUGUGAGCACUAUUCAUUUGUCUCAUUUGAGGAACCAAAGAAAAUAGAAGAUGCAUUGAGAGAUUCCGAUUGGGUAAAUGCCAUGCAUGAAGAAUUGAACAACUUCACAAGAAAUCAAGUGUGGGAGCUUGUUGAGAGGCCGAAGAACUACAAUGUGAUUGGUACCAAGUGGGUCUUUAGAAACAAGCAAGAUCAAGAUGGUGUAGUUGUGAGAAACAAAGCAAGAUUAGUGGCACAAGGCUACACUCAAGUUGAAGGUCUUGACUUUGGAGAAACUUAUGCACCGGUUGCAAGACUGGAGGCAACUAGAAUCCUAUUAGCCUAUGCUUGUGCCCACAACAUCAAGCUCUAUCAAAUGGAUGUGAAGAGUGCAUUUCUCAAUGGAUAUAUAAAUGAGUUGGUUUAUGUUGAGCAACCUCCCGGUUUUGAAGAUGACAAGAAACCCAACCAUGUUUACAAGCUCAAGAAGGCAUUGUAUGGUUUGAAGCAAGCACCUAGAGCAUGGUAUGAGAGAUUGAGAGAUUUCCUUCUCUCCAAAGGGUUCAAGAUGGGAAAGGUUGACACUACCCUCUUAACCAAGAAGCUAGGCAAGGACUUGUUUGUGUUGCAAAUCUAUGUUGAUGAUAUCAUCUUUGGAUCAACCAAUCAAGACUUUUGUGAAGAGUUUGGAAAAAUGAUGGCAAAUGAGUUUGAGAUGUCCAUGAUUGGAGAGCUUAGUUACUUCCUUGGACUUCAAAUCAAACAAAUGAAGGAUGGCACUUUUGUGAGUCAAGGAAAGUACAUCAAGGACAUGAUCAAGAAGUUUGAGUUGCAAGAAGCUAAACCAAUGAGCACACCUAUGGGCACAAAUGAUCAAUUAGGUAGUGAUGCAAGUGGCAACAUGGUAGAUCAAAAGCUAUACCGGUCCAUGAUUGGAAGUUUGCUCUAUGUCACCGCAUCAAGGCCGGAUGUGAUGUUUAGUGUGUGUAAAUAUGCAAGAUACCAAGCUUCACCUAGAGAGAGUCACUUGAAGGCAACCAAAAGAAUAUUGAGGAAUCUAAAGGGCACUCAUGAUGUUGGAUUAUGGUAUCCCAAGGGGUCUAAUUUUGAGUUGAUUGGUUAUUCGGACUCCGAUUAUGGUGGAUGCAAGAUUGAUAGAAUGAGCACAAGUGGCACUUGUCAAUUGCUAGGAAGGUCUCUAGUUUCAUGGUCAUCAAAGAAACAAAAUAGUGUUGCACUAUCAACCGCCGAGGCCGAAUACAUUAGUGCCGGUAGUUGUUGUGCACAAUUGCUUUGGAUGAAAGCUACCUUGAAUGACUUUGGAAUCAAAUUUAAGAAUGUGCCUUUGCUAUGUGACAAUGAGAGUGCAAUCAAGAUGACACAAAAUCCGGUUCAACAUUCAAGAACCAAGCACAUUGACAUAAGGCACCAUUUCAUAAGAGAUCAUCAACAAAAGGGUGAUAUUAGCAUUGAAAGCAUUGGCACCGAAGAUCAACUAGCCGACAUCUUCACAAAGCCACUUGAUGAGAAGAGAUUUUGCAAGUUGAGGAAUGAAUUGAACAUACUUGACUUCUCCAACUUGAGAUGAGUACACCCCUACAUUUCUAUAUGAUAUGCCUCUCCUCCAACAAAGCAAGGUAAAGAUGGUUGACAUAGCAUUCAUACCUUGCUAAGGACAUGUUUAGAACAUAUAGACAUGCUUGCAUGAAAAUAGGCUCAUUCAUGAAAAUCAAAAGGAUUUGAUGUAUGUAUGGUACCACUAUUGUUUCUAUGAUUGAUUGAUCUAGUGGUAGCAUAUGACAUGUUUGUGGGCUUGUAAGCCUAGUGUUGAGUCUAGAAUAUGAGCUUAUGAUGUGUAAUUCAACAUGGUCAAGAUAACCCUUAUACUUCAUGAGGUGUGAAAAAGCUUGUCCUUGGAUCAAACCGAGUUACAUGUUCUAGGCAAGUAAUCUAGAUUGGACCAUAAUUUGACCCUCACAUUGAUUGACUUAAUUCUCACUAUAAUCUAAAUCUUUGUGGUCAUUGAUGACAAAGGGGGAGAGAAACAAAGAUAAGUCAUAAAGGGGGAGAAAAGUGCUUAAGGGGGAGAGAAGACUUUUGAAAAUAGAAAGGGAUAAAUUAAACUUGAGCACACAAAUAGGGGGAGCAAGCUCAUGAACCAUUUGUUGCAUUUGUAUGUGCACUAACAUAAUGAGGUGUUGCAUUACAAGUUUAAAUUCACUACUCUUGUUUGAUUGAUGAUUGCUAGAAGUAAAACUUGAAUGAUGCUUUGAAUUCUAGCAUAAAGUUUUUAUUUUCAUGUGGUAUCUAGACAUAUAAUGUGAUCUCACAAGGUAUCUUGAGUUUUUGAUGUAUGUCUAGCUACAUUGGUGCUAAGGAUGGUAUAUUGGCAACUCCGAUUGGUAUCACGCUUCAAAGGUCCAUUCUAUAUACCUUAGCAUCAUUUUGGUUGUAAUAAAUCUCCCAAAAUUCAAAUUCAUGCAUAUGUGCAAAUUUGAACCAAACUCAUGGAAGCACAUAUGUAGGGGGAGCUAGUACAACCAAAAUCGAAAUUGAAAUGUUUGUCCAACCUUGUAUUAUGAUUAAAAUGCUUUGGACAAGCAAUUCAAGUUCAUUAUGAUUUCAUUUCAUAUCUUUGUGAUGGUUGUCAUCAAUUACAAAAAAGGGGAGAUUGAAAGCCCAAGUUUGGUUUUAGUAAUUAAUGACACCAAGUUGCUAAUGCUUUGUGUUCAAGUGAUUUGAGUUAGGCAUAGCAACCCAUUUGAAGAAGGAGCAACGUGCCAUGAGUGAUGGACACAAGGUCUUAAAGAGAGAAGGCAUGAAGUGGAGAUCAUGGUGAUGGACAAGGAGUAAAGUGAUCAAGGCAAAGGUAUAAAUAUAGGAUUUUGCUUUUGCCGGUCUAAGAUGAGUAGAGAAGUGAUUGACCGGAUUUAAGAUAGAUAGCCGUACUAUAAAGAGGGGAAAUCUUUAAUUGCAAUGGUUACCUAGUGCCACUAAGUAUGAGUCUAAUUUGCAUAUACCUAGCGCUUAGUGACGUGGUGAGUUGCAUGAGAAAGCCUAUAAAAAUGUUUGUGAAAUGCUAACACACAUGCACAUGGUGGUGUACACUUGGUGGUGUUGGCACAUUUGCAAAGGAGAAGGUGUUGAAGUUGAUUUUGAUCAACUUGGAGAAGAGAAAGAGACUUUUCGGUGUUCUCCGGACAUUAGGAUGGCUUUUAGAUUGAAAUACUGCUUUGAUCCAUUAUGGUUUGGAUGGAGUAUCCAUAUGGAUUGUAUAGCCCUCUGAGUAAGCUUUCCAAAAUAUCCAAGAUCAUCGAAUUCCGAGUUCGGAGCUAAAAGUUAGCAUCCUGACAAGGUUUGAGUUGGUGCUGAAAAUGCAGGACCGGGACUUCCGGUGGGACUUCCGGUGCGUGACCGGAAGUUCCGGUCAGCCUGACAGGAAGUUCCGGUUGGGCUGUGAGAGAUGCGCUCGCGUUUGAGAAAACACUUCCGGUGUCUGACCGGAAGUUCCGAUCCUUGACCAGAAGUUCCGGUCCAUAACCGGAAGUUCCGGUCCAUGUUUGGAAGUCCGCAUAGGAGCCUUUGCACAUGGCCUCGCGUGUCAGGAUUCACUUCCGGUCUCUGACCGGAAGUUCCGGUGGGACUUCCGGUGGGUCCGAGUCUCUCACAACGGUCAGAUCUGCUUGGCCACAACGGUCAGAUCUGCUUGGAUCGAGGCUCCAACGGUCAGAUCUGGUCGGACCGGAAGUUCCGGUCCCAGGCACCGGAACUUCCGGUGCCACACUAUAAAUACUCGUUUCCCUUGUUUCUAACCGGGUACUUCGCAUAGAACAUAUUUUUCUGACUUCCGGUGGCUCUUCCAAAGAGUAGAGAAAGCUCUCCCCUCCUCCUCUCUCACUCCCUAAGAUUUGUGCUCCAUUCAAGUGAGAGAUUGAGCUCUAGUGAUAGAUCUGAGAGCUUCAAGAGCAUCUCUUCCCUCUCCUCUCCAUCCCCAUAGCUUGGUGCUCUUUGACGGCUUGGUGCAAGGGAGGUGUUGAGCUCGUGAUUGGAGAUUGUUUCGAGCCUCACCAAGUGAUUUGUGAGGGGUUCUUGAGCCUUCCCCGCGGGAGAUCGCAAUUGGCUACUCUAGUGGAUUGCUCGUGGCUUGGAGGAUCCCCAUCUUGUGAGUGGAUGUGCGGCACCCGCUGAGGGUUUGGCUUUGGAUUGCCAAUUAGCUCGUGAUCCAUCAAGUGGGUGUAUCGCCACAACGAGGACUAGCUUGCCGGGAAGCAAGUGAACCUCGGUAAAAAAAAUCUUGUGUCAUCUCUUGCCGAGGACUCUCUUGUGAUUGUGAGUGAUUGGUUGGAUAUAUCUCUACUCUACAACGUUGGUAUAACAAUCACUCUCCACUCCUUUACUUACUUGUUUAUCUUGCUAGUUGUUUAGCUUGUUUAGUUUAGUCUUCUUGUUUAGGAGUGUAGCAAGUUUGUAGUUGUGCUUUCUUGUUGUAUCUUGUGUUUAGCUUUCUUGCUAGACUUGUGUAGGUGGCUUGCAUAGCUUAGUUGUGCUAGUGCUAGAAUAGCUUCGCCUUUUGUUUUACUAACCAACUUGUCUAGUUGAAGUUUGUAGAAAUUUUAAAUAGGCUAUUCACCCCCCCUCUAGCUAUUUGGACCUUUCAGCAGAGCACCCUUAGGACUUAGUGUCCAUGCUUGGGGAGUGCUAGUAAAGCCUCUAACUCACAUAUGCUUGAUAGUGAUCAUCCGAUUGUGUGAGUGAGCGGUUCUAGUGCGUUGCAUUGAGAGAUUGCAUCGAGUGGCACUAAGUGUUAGUGUUGCAAGCCGGUGGUGCUUGUUACUCUUGGAGGUUGCCACCUCCUAGACGGCUUGGUGGCUUGUGACUUCGUCGAAGCACGCAAGGAGAUUGUGCGGUGCUCCGGAGAAGAGAUUGUGAGGGGUACGGUGCUCACCCCGUGGGGAUCGCGAAGAGCAACUCUAGUUGAGCGAGACGUGAAGAGCGACAAGUGGUCUGGCCGGGUCAAGUGCUAGAGCUUGUGGUAAGCACUCCACGUGGGAGAGUGUGACUUGCGGGUCACCACUAGCAAGAGGACCGGCGGCAACCUUGGAGCUUGUCUCAACGGGGACGUAGCUUGGUGGCAACCAAGUGAACCUCGGAAGAAAAUCAUCGUGUCAACUUCGUUCUUCCCGUUGGUUUGCAAGUCCCUAACACAAGCUUGUUCUUACUUACAUAUACUUGUGCUUGUGUAGUUGCAUUUGUAAUUAGUUAGCUUGUGUAGCUUGCUAGUUACCUUCUUGCUUGUGGAGCUAGAAGUAGUUCCCUUGCGUGACUAAUUUGGUUUGUGUAACCUUGUUAGUCACAUUGCUUAGUUUGUAUAGCUAAGUAAUUUUGUGCUCUCUAAUUUGACAUUGGUUGCCUUGUCAUUGAGUUUGCUAGUGAGUUUAGGCUUUGUGCACUUUGCCUCACUAGUUUGUGUAGGAGCUCUCCCGGUUUGCAAAGUACUAGUGGCAUAGGUUUGUGUGACCUUGCUUCUAGAAUUGGUUAGGUGAGCUUUUGCUAAGGUAGCACCUUGUUUGCUUGUUUAGGAUCUUUUUACAAGGUGCUAGAGAACUUAGAUAGAGGAGUGUAGUCUUGGCUAGACCAAUAGUUUUAAUUCCGCAUUUGUUUCGGUUAGCCGGCAUAAUAUUUUUAGAAAGGACUAUUCACCCCCCCUCUAGUCCGCCAUCUCGACCGUUCACCUAUGGGAGCUAGUAAUUGUUGUCGGACUUUGCUAAAAAAAUAUUAGUGCCAGACUUGGAGCAUGGUUACGUCUUGUUUUGUUUGAGUUUAUCAGACGAAUAAUCUAGUCAUUCAGCAGUGGUUUUCUGUCCUAACAAAUCAGCCAACAAUACUUUCUGUCAUGACUUAUCAGCCAAGUAAACAAUAAAAACAUAAUAGACAAGCAAUACAAUUAAUAGACAAGUCCAGUCAUCGAGAGCCUAACAUGGCCUUGUUUACUUCCUCUUAAAACCCAAAAUUUUUCAAGAUUUCUCAUCACAUCGAAUCAUUAGACGCAUGCAUGGAGUAUUAAAUAUAAAUAAAAUUAAAAACUAAUUGCAUAGUUUAUCUUUAAUUUGAGAGAUGAAUCUUUUGAGCCUAAAUAGUCUAUGAUUGGACAAUAUUUGUUAAAUACAAAUGAAAAUACUACAGUGUUCCGAAAAAAUUUUGUUGAGAAAGUAAACACGGCCUAUAAUAGACAAGCAAUACAAUAACUAAUCUCUUCUUAUAUUUUAAAUAUUAUUAUUUUGUUCAUCUCCUUCCUUGUCCGUUCCUAACUCCUUCCCCAUCUGGUUCGUCAUGCCGCAAGGAAGGCUGUGUGUGUACGACUGCGUGGACAAUGGCCGAGCGAUGACGACAGCUGCUGCGUGUACGGCGGCGAGGAGGACGAAUGUUGUUUCUAUGGCGGCAAGGACGAUGGUGCGGCAGCGGCGAGGACGAUUGAUGGCGCGGAUAACGGUUGCUGCGCAGACUACGACAUACGACAGCGAACAUGGCGAGGACGACCUUGCGCAAUGGUGGCAGACGCAACGAGGACGAUGGCGGGCGUCCUGCUUGGUUCGUUUGGCUGAUAAGCCAUGACAAAAAGUAAUGUUAGCUGAUUUGUUGUGAGAGAAAAGUAUUACUAAAUGGCUGACAAAUUCGGCUGAUAAGCUCAAAGUCUAGGCUAGCAACGGGCGCAUCGCUCGCGAGCCUAUGGCUGCAACACAGUUCUCUUCUCUCUUUUCUCCACCUAGGAUUUUGCUGAAAUGGCUUGACUAUAAGCCAAGCUGACAUGUAUUAUUGUACCUGCUCUUAUAUACAUUAAAUCUAUACUCUUUUGUAAGGUGUUGAUAAAAAAGGUACUUGUCAAGUUAGGUUACUUAUAUGGUAGAAUGAAAAUGGUUGAAGAGAAUAUGAAUUGGAGAUACAUCUUGAUUGGAUGAAAACGGUUGAACAAAAGCUAUUUAGUAGUAGUUCAGUGUUCACAAAAAUAAUACGGCCAAACGGUCUCAAAGCAGUUGUAAAUUAAGUGAACCAUAUUGUUUUUCACCUAGCCUUGUUUAGUUCCAAAAAUUUUUGCAAAAUAGGAAUAGUAGCACUUUCGUUUGUAUUUGACAAAUAUUAUCCAAUCAUGAACUAACUAGGCUCAAAAGAUUCGUCUCGUCAAUUCCGACCAAACUGUGCAAUUAGUUUUUAUUUUCGUCUAUAUAUAAUACUCUAUGCAUGCGUCUAAAGAUUUGAUAUGACGGGAAAUCUGAAAAAUUUUGCAAAAUUUUUCAGGAACUAAACAAGGCCCAGCUAGGAGUGUUUUUUUAUCCAGGAUGCCUGCCUUUGUUUUCAUUAGCAAAAUGUGCGUAGGUAGCACAGUGAUGAAUCACAUUAUUAUAAAUACAAACCCAACUGCCUUAUAUUAUUCAAGGGACAUUUUAUUUUGAGCAGUUAAUAUUUGAUUAACAACCACUUUCCAGUUAAAAGUUUUAGUUAAACUUAAAAGGCAGAGCGAACUGAACUUUCUGAGAUGGUUAAUCUUUUCUAAUAAGCACAUCAGAGUAACCGUGCACUAACAGAGUGAUUCCUCAUGCUUCCAUUAAUUAAUAUAUUGUGUGUUUUGCCUAGCAGCUUAGUAACAACAUUACUUUCCGAUUUACAUUUUUAAAAACUUGCAUGUAGGCAUGCGAACCAACAUAUUUAUAUUAUUUGUGUUGAUAAAAAUUACUCCCUCCGUCCACGAAAGAAUCAAUUUUUAGAGUUGUCCUAAGUCAAACUUUUUAAACUUUGAUCAAAUUUCUAGAAAAGAAUGCUAAGAUUAAUGGUAUCAAAUUAGUAUCAUUAGAUUCAUCAUAGAAUAUAUUUUCAUAUGAUGCACAUUUUAUGUCAUAGAUGUUGUUACUCUUUUUUAUAAAUUUAGUCAAAUUUAAAAAAGUUUGACUGACACAAAUUAUAUGAAUUGAUUCUUUCGUGGACGGAGGGAGUAUGAUAAUACUCUUGUCCUCUUAUCUAGAACUCAACAAACUUGUAAUAAUCAAUUAGUAAAGGCUAACUUUUUUUGUAGUCCCAACAUACUAGUGUAAAACUUUUCUUCCAAAAAAAAACACAUACUGUAAAAGUGAUAAAAAAACAAGCAUAUUGAGGAGCUUUAUUACUAAAUAAAAAAUGAGUAUUUCUGCAAAACAGAGGAAGCAUUUUCCAUAGGUUAGGAGUUUGAGAAACAAUUAGUGGAAUAAUAAUUCUGCUGAAAUCUGGCGAAAUGAGCUCCUUUCUUGUCUCAUCCUCAUGCUCAUGAAUAUAUAAGACAAAUUCUAUAUAUAAAUAAAAUAGAAAAAGUUGACAUUGUUGGGAGGACGACACCCGGGGCGUCCUCGUUCUGGCCGAUGGACCCGGAGCGAAACGGAACCUUGGUGGAAGGGCAUAAAUGCAAAUUAACGCCAGCUUCAAACCCUAGCGAUAGAGACAGGCACGUGCAUCUCGUUGGGAUGAGAUGUGAUCGUGAUGCUGAUCCACCGACGUGGGGAUCUCUGUAGCCCUAUAUGUGUCCCGUCAAAUCCAAGGGGAAAAAGUCUAUUUUUUUCUCCCCCAACUUUUAUGAAAGUACGGACAAACCACCUCCUUCAACUUUUCAACCCGUGCAUUUUACCUCCCUAGAGCGGUUCCGAAUGUAAUUUUGCUACAGUGAAUAGUAAAUCAAAGAACAAUCAUAAAAUAAAAAAUCCAAAUUUAUUAGACUCCACAUAAGUAGAUCUACACAAUGAGCAUAUAAUACGAUAUGCUUUAGUAAAAUUUUUUUGCUAUAGAGAUUUUGUCUUUUUCUUUUUUAUUUAUUUUGCUUAAUAUAUUUGAAAAGUCAUAGUAAAUUACAGAAAAAUCAUAAAAUAUAAAAUAUAAUUUUGUUAGACGUUAUAUGAGCAUAUCUACAUAGUAAAUUUAUAAUAGGGUAUGGUUUAGUAUAAUUCUUUUGUUGUAGCUUUAGAUUUAUAUUUUUCUGUAAUUAAUUAAAAUAAUUCAUAGCUGUAGCUUCUAUAAUUAUUUUGUCAGACUAAAAUAUACAUAUAUUAUAUAUUCAUUAUGUAUAUAUACUCUUGUGGAGUCUAAGAAAAAUAUAUUAUCUAUUUUAUGAUUUUUCUAUGUUUUACUAUGAUUUUUCAAAGAUUCAGCCAAAUAAAUAAAUAAAAGAAAAGGACAAAACCUUCAUAGCAAAAACUUUGUACUAAAGCAUACCAUAAUAUAUGUUUACUAUAUAGAUAUACUUGUGUGGAGUCCAAAGAAAAUAGAUUUUAUAUUUCAUGAUUUUUCUAUGAUUUACUAUGAUUUUUCAAAAAUUUAGCCGAAAUAAUUAAAAAAGAGAGAGACAAAACCAUUGCUAGUGUAGCAAACCACUAGUCACUAUAGCAAAACCGCCUUCGAAACCGCUCCAGAAUGAUAAAAUGCAGGAUUUGAAGAGUUAAGAAAGAUGAUUUACUCGGUUAUAGAGUUAAGGAGGAAAAACGAAGUUUGGUAAAAAUUGAAGAAAAAAAAUAGACUUUUUUCCAAUACAAGGCCGCAAAAUAUCCCAUCCCACCUGAGAAGAGAGACAUCAUGAGGUUGGUGGGCAGCCCAGCCCAGACCAGCCCCGGCCCACUAAUGAUGUGACGGCCCAUGUCCAUGGUUCGACUUGGACGUCACGGGUGCCUCGUGCACCCUGCCGCUCACGUCGACCCACGAGCUGAAGCCGAGCGGCAGGCAAAAGUCCACUUGCAAGUUCAUAUUUGACAACUUUCUAUUUUGAAAGAGUUAUUUUACCAAAUUAGUAAAGGAAUUUUUUUUUCUCUUUUUACUAUAAUAUUAAGAUAGGGAGCUGUUUUACCAAAUUCUAAAGAUACCCUUAGAUAGUACAAUUAGGAAUUAGUUUGAUGGAAAUAGGGUAAGACUGACCAGGCUAUAGUAUUCUAGCAAGAAAGCAUCUCCAACAACUUGGUAUUUCAACAUGCUAUCCUACCAAAUUUGCUAAAAGUAUAAAAAUCCUCCUCCAACAACUUCUUAUCUCAACUUGCUAAAUUUUCCAAGUUGCUAUCCAGAGGUUUCUACUGCCGAGAUUUGUCAAGUUAUUAUCCCAAGUUGCUAUCCCGAGCGCAACUUGUUGGAGACACAUAUUCUUUUACCAAGUGAGCGGGUCCCAUCUGUCAUCCUCUAUUUUUACCAAGUGAGAAUAGCAACUUAUUAGAGACACAUCCUUUUUUCUUUUGCUAAACAAAUUAGCAACUUGCUAUAACUUAAGAUUUGACAAGUGAAUUUUAUCAAGAUGUUGGACAUGCUCAACUCCUUUGCCCGACCGCUGUUACUCCUCGCAGUCGCAGGCCUUAUCAUACAUGUUUCAGUUCGCCACCAGGGUUCACCACCUCAUGAUCGUUCUUUAUUGGGCUAUUUGUUGAGGCUGGGCCUAGCCCCAGGUGAGGUAUCCAUGGAUUUUGCAGUGAAAUAUGUUGGGCCAAGAUAGAUUUUUUUUUUCCGGCAGCCGCAGAAGGAAUGCCCUAAGAACAGAUGAGAAAUGGAAGGAAAGCCCAUGUAUUUUGAGAGUACCGUAUGCUGCCAGGCCCGCAUACGGAAUACUCCUAGCACAUCAGGACCUGGACCGCAAAAUAUUUUUUUUUCGCUGACAUCAGCCCUAGCCGUUCUCCCAACCCGUCCCGCCUCCGCACCAGCCAGGAACAAAGCCUCGGCAGCCGUUGGAUCGUUCGCCACGUCAACGAUCCGCGUGCCUGUUCUUGUCACGGACGGCCGGGAUCGUCCGCAGCCCAUCUGCCGAAACCCAGUCCUCCCUCGCCCCCUGUUCGUCCCCGCCGCUUACAAAUUCGCCCAAAAUUUGCCCCCAAUUUUCAUCCACCGAGCACAAAUCCAAUCAGAUCCGAUUUCGUCGAGAUGAAGCCGGCAGUGGAGGUGGAGGCUGACGAGCGAGCGGCGGAAAUUAAGAAGGCAGCGGCGGCCAAGAAAGCCGCUGAGGAGGUUGAGGUGGAGGAGGUGCUGGACGGGGAGGAGGAAGAUGGGGAGGAGGCGGUCGAUGGGGACGAUGACGGUAACGAGGAAGACGAUGGGGAAGGCGGAGAGGAGGACGACGAGGAGGAGGUGGAGGGGGAGGAAAAGGAGGCGGCAGGGGUUGUAGAGAUCUCCGACGAAGAUGACGACGACGACGGGGAGGCGGACGACGACGACGGGGACGACGACGACGACGACGAUGACGACGACGACGACGAUGACGACGACGAAGAGGUCGACGGCGAAGACGAGCAGGAGGUAUAAUUUCUUAAUCUCGUAAAAUUAUUUUACUAUUUUAGUGUCGUUCUGUGCUGCUAGAUCUAUGCUCGUUGUGUGUGUCUGCAGCAAUUUUUUCUCAGAUAAAUUUAGAUCUGCUUAGCUCUUUUUCCACCCCCGCACGGGUUUGUGUGUUCUUUAUUUAGGUCCCUGUAAACUUUACCCGCUGCAAAAAUUAGCAAUGUUCUCGGUCUGCUUUUCCCUGUAAAUUUUACUCGCUGCAAAAAUUCAUUUUUCCUAAAAUUUUAUCUGAAAAAUUUGAAGCCGUUAGAUUUUCCUUGUGCUUUUUGGAGAUGAUGAAUCUUAUCAGAGGCUGUUUCUGAGGCGAGCCAAGAGCUCUCCCUGUGCUGCAAAAGAACUGAUUUGCCGUUCUGAUCCAAAGCACAUGUUGCCUACUUGUUUAGGGUGCGAUUUGUGCGGACUGUUUCUCACAGGGGCCCAGCCAAGAUCCUUUUUUUUUUUAUAUCAGCUUUAUUAUUGUUUGUUUUUGGUAAAUCUAGACGACUUGAAAUUAUCGAUGAGGUUUUCUUGCAGCUCGUCUGCUUUUAGAGAUGAUGAUUCAUAUCAGAGGCUGUUUCUGAGGAUGAGCCAAGAGCUCUCCCAGUGCUGCACAAAAACUGAUUUGCCGUUCUGAUCAAAAGCACUUGCUCUGGUUUCUUCCUUUGUUUCGAAACCCAGUGGCUUCAAUUCCUGGUCAAAUGAAAAGGUAGUUGUCCGAUGCUUUAGAAUCUGUGCUGAAAGAGUUUGGCAUCUUAUCCUACACGCUACGCUUUAGUUGGGAAAUGACGAGAACCCUAUUCCACUGAUGGAAGAUAAUUGUUAUCCACCUCUUGAUUAUACCUUGCACGUCAGUCUGAUCCCAUGCCAGAUCUUCAUCUUUUGUUGGAUUUAGUUGUUUUUUUUGGGUUGAUUGAUCUUUCCUUGGGAAAUUAUCUGUACUGAGGCUGUAUUUGGGAAGUGACGAAUAACUAAAUUCAGAUAUCCAUCCUAUUAUGGAUUUAUGUGUGUACUGAUAUGAUGAAAAUUUGCACGUCAGUCUGAUCCCAUAUAUCUUUUUUUUAUCUGAUCUGAUUUGGUUGAACUGGCUUUACGAAAGGAAAGGCGAAGCUGAUUGGACCUGAUUUGCUUUGAUCUGUACUAUGGCACUUAUUGUUUUGGAAUUUUAAUUUUGCAGGAGGAGCUGGGAACUGAUUAUCUUGUUCAGCCCCUUGGUCGGGCUGAAGACGAAGAGCACUCAAGCGACUUUGAACCUGAUGAAAACGGUGAUGGUGCUGAGGAGGAGGAGAUUGACGAAGAAGAAGAAGAAGAUGCUGAUGAUGGUGCGAAGGCACAGUCCUCUACGAAGAGGAAGAGGUCAGGUGACGAUGAUGAAGACGACGACGGGGAUGAUGAUGGCGACGAUGAUGACGAUGGGAGGCCACCAUCAAAGCGAUAGUUGUGCCCGGAUUUGUCAUCUUCUGGAGAGUGCCAAGAAAGAAAGAAAAUAGAAAUCCUCUCUCGCUCUGCAGAACGCGGGCCGGUGUAGCCUUUUAGGUUUGUAGCUGCUGAAACUUGGUUAGUCGAGUCUUGAGUCCUCCGUGGUAGGUAGUGCAUACUGCUGAUGUUGGUUAGCAGCCAGCCUCUAUCAACUUUGAUGGGUGAUUUGUGAUAGAACCUGAGGCUAAGCUUGUGUAGCGUCUAAUUCGGGUCUGUGGAUGCUUUGUUCCGAAUCGUUCAUAAUUUCUGCUUGCUCUUUGCGUUGUUUGUCUACACUUUUCUCACCCUCCCUCGUAUAGAUGCUCCAAGCUACAGUAGCAACUAGCAACUCAACUUAGGCCCUGUAGCAUGCUCAUUUGGUAGAUAAACUCAACCGAGCAGAGAUAUUUAGAACCUUUUUUAACUGCAAAUAACACUGCCAUUAAGUGGGCAAAUUCAUGUUAUUUUAUUUGAUUUUGACCUCACCACACCAGCACAUACUACUAUUUUCUGGAUUACCAAGGAUUUAUAACCGGUCUAGUUCGCCACAUGCCCUUUUGCAGCCAAGCCUGAAAUAUAUACAUGUCGAAAAUUGGGCACAUUUUAUUUCAAGUGAAGGCCAUCUCUCGUAUGUAGGAGUCCAAAGACUCAUUGGGCUCGGUUGGGCCUGAUCGUCGGAUGAUACUGGGCUGUUUGGCACGAAGAAACGGUUCCGAUUCUGGGCGAGAAUCGCUGCCCACACCUGGAGGACUUUAUCCAUCUAAGGUAUUUUCAAAAAAAUUCAAGAUUCUUCGUUACAUCGAAUCUUGUGGCACAUGCAUGAAAUAUUAAAUAUAGAUAAAAACAAAAACUAAUUACACAGUUUGCCUGUAAAUCGUGAGAUGAAUUUUUUAAAUUUAGUUAGUCCAUGAUUGGAUAAUAUUUGUCAAAUAAAAACGAAAGGCUACAGUGCCCAAAAACUAAAACUUUUGGGAACCGAACAAGACCUAAAUUAUAAGACUUUUAGGCUUUUUUACCCUAGAUUUGACUAUUCAUCUUAUUUAAAAAUAUAUAAAUAUAAUCAAAUUUAAAUAAUUAUUGAAGAAAUUUUAAUAACAAAUCAAGCCACGAUAAAAAAAAUAAUAUUUGAAACAUUGACGAGAGAAUAUGAAGUUGAAAUAUUUUUACAAGGAACACGAAUAUCCAUCAAACACAACCUAAAAAAUGAUAUACGUUCCAAAGAAAAAGAAACAGCUGGCCAAUAAAGGGUUUUUUUUUUUUUUUUUUUUUUUUGUCGUGGCUGGCGCCAUGCCCAUGAGUAUGUGUGUGUAACUGCCCUGGGUAGGCGGGCCAGAUCCACGAGACGUGUGGUGUGCAUGGUGCUUCCUUGGACUAGGCCACUUGGGCAACAAUGGCCAUGGCAUGACGGCCGGCCGGACAGGGACAGGCAUUCGUCCCCACCCCGAGAUCGAGAUCGAGAUCGAUAAUGGCGGCGCGCCUCCUCCUCACGCUUCUCCUCUGCUCCGUCGUCAUUACUGGCGCCUCUUCCCGCAAGAAGAAGACUAGCCUGGCAGUGGCAGUGCCAGUGGCACCACCACCAGACGGCCCGCCAGACCCUUGCGCCGGCCGCCGCAUCCACAUCCGUCGCCUCCCCGCGAGCUUCAACACGCAGCUGCUCCUCUACUGCGGCAGCGGCAGCGGCAGCGGCACGGCGUUCCCGCUGGCGGACCCAGGUGACUCCAAGUGGUCAGUGCCGGCGUGCGCCUCCCUGGCCAACCACGGGCUGGGCCCGCGCACCCACAACGGCACCCGUUCCUGGUACCGCACGGACGCCCGGCUGCUGGAGCCCUUCUUCCACCGCCGCCUGCUGGAGCACCAGUGCCUGGUGUCCCGCCCCGCACAGGCCGACGCCGUCUUCCUCCCCUACUACGCGGCGCUGGACGCGCUGCCCUACGUCCUCCACCCGGACCUCCUCAACUCCUCCGCGCUCCACGGGGUGCCGCUCGCGCGCUUCCUGGCGCACCACCAGCCGCGGGUCCUCGCGCGCCGCCACGGCCACGACCACUUCUUCCUCCUCGCCGGCACCGCCUGGGACUACUCGCAGCCGCACGACGCCGACCCCCGCCUCUACGGCACCACGUCGCUGCUCCGCCUCCCCGACCUCGCCAACUUCACCGUCCUCACCCUCGAGUCGCGCGCCUGGCCCUGGCAGGAGCACGCCAUCCCGCACCCGACCUCCUUCCACCCGUCCUCGCUGCCGCGCCUCCGGUCCUGGAUCGCCCGCGCGCGCCGCUCCCGACGCACCGCGCUCAUGCUCUACGCCGGCGGCGUCUCCAGGCCGUCCAGGCCCAACAUCCGGGGCGCCAUCCUCGCCGAGUGCGCCAACCGCACCACGUCGUCGCCUGAUGUGUGCACCGUCGUCGACUGCUCCGCCGCCGCGUGCGGCCUCAACCCCGUGGCUUACAUGCGGCCCAUGCUCAAGGCCAACUUCUGCCUGCAGCCGCCCGGGGACUCGCCGUCCCGCCGCUCCACGUUCGACGCCAUCGUCGCCGGGUGCAUCCCGGUCUUCUUCGAGCACGCCGCCGCCAGGGCGCACUACGGCUGGCACCUGCCCCGCGGGAGGUACGACCAGUUCUCGGUCACCAUACCCAAGGAGUCGGUGGUGAUGGGGGACGUCAGGAUCGCCGACGUGCUGGCGGCGGUGCCCGAGGACAAGGUCGCCAGGAUGCGGGAGCGCGUGCUGGAGAUGGCGCCCAGGGUGGUGUACCGGCGGCACGGGAGCGCCGCGGAACUGAGAGACUCCACUAGCUAUAGGGACGCCGUCGACCUCGCCGUGGAGGGCGUCCUGAGGAGGAUACGGAGGCGGGUGAGCGCGCUGGAGGACGCCCAACCGGACGCCAUCUACGAGCUGGAGGAGGACGACGACGAUUAGGAUUAGGAUUAGGAUUAGGAUUAGGAUUAGGACGGACAUUCUCAUUUGAGCUGAUCGAGCCAACACAGAUUACAUGCAUACAAUUUCUUCUUCUUUCUUGUAAUAACAAAGAUUUGACUUCAUCAGUGUGUAGUACAACAGCAACAAAGGCAAGCUACGUAGAUUGGAAUUGGAUUGCGAUUCUGAAAUCUGAAUGCGCCAACACAUUACAUGCAUGCUCAAGACGGCGACGGCGGCAUUGAUCAAUGAUGAUCUCUCCGUCACAGAUACAUACUACAAAGACGGUACCAGGCGCCGGAUCGAAUCGAAGAGGGAGGAUAAAGGCAUCGUGAAUCAAGGAUCAAGCCUGACAAACUUUGGAGUUUCGGAAGUGCAACUCUUUUGUGAACCUGUGUACUGUAGGUCGUCAUACACUCGGAGACAGGGGCGUACUGUGUACGUAUUUGGAUGCAGUGUAUCUCUGAAUUGUACUUUCCAUUUCUUCCUUAAGUUGUGUUUCCGUUAUGAAAUGGGUUCGCUCCAUUAAAAAAAAACCAAACACUUUUAUCUUUUUUUUUAAAAAAAUUAUUGCACACUAGAUUUGAUCCAACAAAUUUAAAGCACGAUGAACGGUGUACACAUCUUGGAUAAUGUAGGCACAAACAAAACCUGCACAUAUAUUCAGACGUUCGUGAUGCAGCUGAAGAUGAGUUUUGGUGUUGUCGAUUAUGAGUUGUCCCUUGUGAUCAUUGUAGCAUAUGACAUGCACAUUCGUAGCACCAGUGGUCUAGUGGUAGAAUAGUACCCUGCCACGGUACAGACCCGGGUUCGAUUCCCGGCUGGUGCAUGAAUUUUUCUGCCCUGCUCUCAAUUUUUUUAAUUUAAAAGAAAAGGAAACAAGCUGAAGCGCCUUGCACGGUAUACGUCAUUGUCUUUCAUUUUAAAUCAUUUUUGCCGUGACCUGAAAUUAUUUUUCUUAUAAAGAGAAGAAACAAGCUGAAGUACCUUUCACGGUAUACAUCAUUGUCUUUCAUUUUAAAUAUUUCCCUUUUUGGAUCGGAUAGAUUGACUGGAUCAGGUGCCCUUAUAGGAGGAGGAGUAUAUGCAAAUGCAAGCAAUAAUUGUCUGUUCUGCUUCCAAAUUCCAAUUACAAGAAAUGCUAUGCUAAUUAUUACGAUAUACGAGUAUUUGUUGAAAGUCUGAAUUGCUUGUUACUUACCCAAUUGCAAUUACAAGUAAUUGUUGAAGUCUUGGUACGCUUGUUCCAGCAAAUGGUGAUCGUCCCACUCGUCUCUGUACGUCUCCGGGCACUGGAGCUUCUUCUUCCUGGUGGCGUUGAACAUGUCCUUCCUCCACUCCUCCACUGUGCGUGUGCCGGCUUCCCCGCCGCACUGGCACUGCUCCGCCAGCCACUCGUCGUACUCGAACUGGCUGUGCUUCAUGCAGUGCGUGUACCUGACGGGCCAUCCCAUGACCUCCAGCUCCGAGUAAAGCGCCCUCACGUCUUCCAUCAUCUCCUCCUCCGACGGGAGCUGGAUCCGGCCCGACAGAGCGCCGGCGACCCAGCUGGCCUGCAGCUGGAACAUCGGGAACGGGAUCACCUUGAAGGGCAGGCCGAUGAAGGCGAGGUGGGGAGCCAGCUGAGGCACGAACACGUGCUUGUACAGCGGGUGGAUGCGGUUGUCAUCCACGGAGACGACCGCGGUAUCGCCAUCGCCCGCCGCCGUCAGGAGGAAGGGGAAGCUGUACUUGUAUCCGGUGCAGUGCAUGACGACGUCCGCUCUGACGGAGCUGCCGUCUCGGAACACGACGGUGGUGCCGUCCGCGUCGGCACGCUCCACCAUGGAGCGGAGCCAGAGGUUGCGAUAGCCGGGGAGCCUCCGGCAGGUGGCGGCGGGGGCCCAUCUGUCGGCCAUGUGCACCUCCCUGGCCACGCCGGCGAUUUCCCUGGAGAUGUCGGCGCCGCUGUUGCUGGCACCGACUAUGACCACGACCUGGUCCGCGAACGGGCCCGGCACGCGGUAGCUGUGGCUGUGCAUCUGCUUGCCCGGCGGCCAGGCGUCCAGGCCGGGGAUGUCGUCGGCGGCGGUUCGCGGCUCCGUGUAGUGGCCGUUGCAGACCACGACGGCGUCGAACACCUCCUCCUCCUCCUCCUCCUGCUCACCGGCGGCGGCUGCGUUCCGGCGCCACCUCACCCUCCAGCUGCUCCCCUCGUCGUCGUCCUUGGUGGUGACGGCGAGCACCUCCGUGCGGAGGCGGACGAGGCCGUCAAGGUGGAACCGGCGCGCGAAGGCCUGGAUGUAGCGCAGCACCUCCUGGUGGCGAGGGAACCUGCGCGCGUCGACGGAGUCCGAAGCGGCGGCGAAGGGGAAGUCGAGGAAGCCCAUGAUCUCGCGUGGCAGGUUGGUGCGCAGGGACGCGUACAUGCUGCUGCUGCGGUGGUCGUAGAGCCAGGUGCCCCCGACUGCGUGGCCGCGCUCGAACACGACGGUCGCGUGGCCCUCGCGCCGCAGCUCGCGCGCGGCGGCCAGCCCCGCGGCUCCCGCACCGAUGACGGCGACGCGGAGAGAGCGCGGCGGCGGCAUGGCCAUGGCGUUGUGUGAAUUGUGAUUGAUGGACAUCUCUCUCUCCGGUCUCCGCUGAGUGGAGGUGAUGCGAUCGCCAGUCGCCAGUCCGCCACGGCCCACGGCCACGUUGUGUUUGUCCUUUCUGUGAUGGGAAAUUUAUUUAUUAUAUUUUAAUAACAUAUAGGGCCUGUUUGUACAGCUCAGAAGAGCUUUAUGAGUGAAUCUGUUUUUCCUCUCCUCUCACAAAGAUAUAAGUUGGAUGAAGCUGAAAAAAGUAGCUUAUUGCAAAUUCUCUCUCUCAACUAUACAUGAAGCAGUUGGUGAAGCUAUUUUUACCAAAUACUUUUUCCAAAACAGCUCAGCUUGAUCUAAAAAGUUGCUCAUGAAGCUAUUUUCUAAAAAAUCAGCUUUACUAGUGAAGUUGAGUUGUGGCAAACAAGCCCGUAGUAUUAUACUCCAUCGUUAUAGUUAUCGGAAAAAAUUUAAAUAAAUAUAUAUUAAAAAAUAUUAUUAUUUUGAUUAACUUUGAAUUAAGAUUUGUUUGACAUAGCUCAACUUCAUUAGUAAAGUUAUUUUUUUAGAAAACAACUUUAUGAGCAACUUUCUAAGUGAAGUUGAACUGUUUUGAAAAACAGUAUUUAGUAAAAUAACUUAACCAACAACUUCAUGCAUAGAUGAGAGAGAAAUGAGUGAAAAAGCAACAAUAAGCUACUUUUUUCAGCUUUAUCUCAACCCAUGUCUGUUAUGAGUUGUACCAAAUAGACUCCUAGUUUUUCUAAUAAAAUUAUUUAAAGAUAUAAAUACUGUAUGUAUUUUCUAUAAAUCUAAUCAAAUUUGCGACAUGAAAAUCCAAAAGGACAGUUAUUUUGGGACUGAGGGAGCAUGCUCCAAUAUAGGAAUACUUUCUCUAUAUCUAUAAAGAAAGUCAUUUAGGAUAACGACAUGAUCUCCAAAGUCUAAUUUUGACUUCAUAUUUUUAUAAAAAUAUUUCUCAAAAAGUUGUAUAUGUAUAUGUUUAUAAAAAUAUUUUUUAAAACAACUAUUUAUAUGGUUUUUAUAUUUCUAAACUCAACAACUUAAAAAUUAUUCAUAAUUUAUAUUUUUAAUGUUUAACUUAAACUUUUUCAAAACGACUUAUGGUGAAAAUACUACAGGAGCUGUGUGUUUUUUGCUGUUAUGUGCUCUCCAAAAAGGUUCUUGGCCGAAUGAAAAGGUACGAGAGUGUAAAUCUGCACCAAAAAGUAUAAGAGCGAUCCAAGAGUUUUUAGAAAUUUCACUCUCUAAACCAUCAUUUAGAGAAUUAUUUUCAUAAAAAUCGUUUUUUAUAUUUUUCACUCUUCAAUAGCUUUUAUAUCUCUCUUGCGUACUUUAGAGAGUCAUUCUCGUCUUCUAUUUUUGGUCAACGAAAAAUUCGAAAUAAAAGAUGGCUAUAUUUACAUAACCAUUUAGACAAGCUGUUGGAGGAUAUUUUUUCACCAAAAUCUUUAUUCUUAUUUAAGAAUAAUUUAGAGAGUCUCUUGAAAUUGCUCCUACGGUCUUGUUUAGAUCCAAAAGUUUUUUAGAUUUAGAUACUGUAGAACUUUUAUUUUUAUUUGAUAAUUAUUAUCUAACCAUAUAUUAACUAGGUUUGAAAGACUCUUCUCAUAAAUUAUAGAUAAAAUGUAUAAUUAAUUAUUUUUUAUCUAUAUUUAAUAUUUCAUGCCUGUAUCAUAAGGUUCGAUAUGAUAAAAAAUCUUGAUUUUUUUUAAAAAAAUUUGGAUGGUAAAUAAAGCCUACGCACUAAACAUAUUGACGGCGACCACGAGAACAAGGACAACAUCAAGAAUUCAAGUGACUUCUGCGAUGUAACAAGGCUGCAAAACAACAAUUGGUCCUGCAACUUUGAAUUGAAGGCUAUAAAGUUUUUUUUUCCCAUUCCUUCCUUCGUACUAGCUUAGAGUGGGCAUUCGCUUCUUUAUUCGGUAGUUUGGUUCCGGUUCUAACUAAACUAACUAUUUUUUUCAGCAAAAAUUAAUACAAAUAUGUAUAUUUUAAAGCAAAUAUAAGCAACACUACCUCUAAUUUAGAUGAUAAUAAUAAUAAUAAUAAUAAUAAUAAUAAUAAUAAUAAUAAUAAUAAUAAUAAUAAUAAUAAUAAUAAUAAUAAUAAUAAUAAUAAUAAUAAUAAUAAUAAUAAUAAUAAUAAUAAUAAUAAUAAUAAUAAUAAUAAUAAUAAUCGCUAAGAGAGCAAUAGCAAUAUAGUAACACAAAUAUAUAUCAAUUCAGUAUGAAAUAUUACAUAAAAAUCAAACUUUGUCUUACCAAAUAGUAAGUGAGUAAAAUUCAUAAAUUUUGGUUCUUCCAAUUAAUUUGGUUAUCCGAGAGUAGAAACUGAAUUUUUCACGAUUAUUUCAGUUCUUCAAAAUUUAGAACCGAAUAAGAAAUUAAUUUCUUGGUUCCUUAGAAAAUAAGAAGCAGCUGCCAACUGAGACCAGACGACCGUAGUCUGCAGGCCAUGGCGAUGAGAUGACGACGUGCGGCGGUCCAGGUCCAGCAAACUGCAAACUGUGGUGGAAGCAGGCCGAGGCUAGUUCUGCAGGCUGCAAGUAACUCUUGCACAAGUUGGGCUGUAGCCCAUGCAAAACCACAUCGUUCCACAGGUUGCAGGCAGGGGAUACAACCCUCUAAUUCAUGUCCUCCUGUUGCAAGUGGGUAACAUAAAAAUCGGAGCAUGAGUGGCCUUCCAUCCAUGGAUAGAAUUGCACAGACACGUUGGACUAUAAAUCCUUUGCAGACGAGAUACUGGUGAAGACAUUAACUCAAUCUAAAGUAAACCUUAUAUGAUCAUAUAAGAGACCGAUCUUUUAGAGACGAACAUCUUCAAAUAUCCAUGUUUGAGCUAUUAACAGAUGUAAGUCAUUUUAGACGUCUACGGAAUUUAUGGAGGCGGACGUCUUAAGAUGUAUGUCUCUAUAAAUAGCUGUAAUAAACAAUAGUUAUAACUUUUUAUAUGAACUUGAAUCAAAACAAACUUUUAUAUCAAACUUGUAUUCUUGACGUGAUCUACAACUUUAUAAUUAAAAAGUUUUUGAUUGAAGCUGUUGGCAUGAUCUAUACUAACCUAUAACCCUGUACUUCAAGUUGAAGUUAUUUAGGGUCCUAAAUAUGUGUUGUAAGUUCAUAGAUUUUAAAUUUUAAAAUUCCUAAAUGAUCUUGAAUAUUCACAUGGUUUUACCAAAGUUGUAGUGGCAGACCCAAUGUACAUGUUUUUUUUGUAGAUAUAAGUUUCUAAUUUGAAGUUUUCUAGUCUCAAAUAUCUAUUUUAAAUUCAUAUAUUUUGAGACCCAUAUUUUAAAAUUUUCAAAUAAUCACGGACGGAGACACAUCAUAUACCAAAAUUAUAGUACUAAUUUAAAACUUCAUAGUUGAUUUUUUUUAUUUGAGUUAGCUUAGUAGUCAAAAUAUUUAAUACAAGAAUAUGAAAUAUUUGUAUAAAAAAGAUAGAGUCUUAUAUAUAAUCACAAGUGAGUGUGUGGUGUACUGGUAGCGGAAUGUCAAUGCCCAGCGUGAUAGGUCGCUCGCUCAACUGCUGAGUUAACAGGCGCGCUAAGCCGGAGGCAGUACGCAUUCGGAAAUCGAAAACGACCAUGUGCAUCUCCAUCUUUGAAAAUGGACGUACUCUGUGGUAGGGAUGAUGCAUGGUAGGGGCGGGGGAAAAAAUAAACGUGUGGAAGCAAUGAAAGAUGCCCUUUAAAUGAUCUGUAGCCGAAGAAAUUGAAAUCGGCGCUCAUGUCAUUGUUGGUGUGUGCGUGUGAUUAUUGAGACCUUGUUUAGUUGGGAAGGUGAGAAGUUUUUGGGUAUUAUAGUAUUUUUAUUUUUAUUUAAUAAUUAUUAUCUAAUUACUAAACUAACUAGGUUUAAAAAAUUCGUCUCGUAAAUUUAAACUAUAUAAAUAGUUUUUUUUCAUCUAUAUUUAAUAUUUUAUAUAUUGAUAUGAAAUUUUUUUAGAUUUUAAGGUGAAGUAAGGCCUGGUGUGUAGGACUGUAGGAGGAUUAGGAAUGACACGACGCGCGCUGUGACUGAUGGAGUGCUGGCUAGCUGCCUCUCAUCUCAUCUGCUACAUAGUACUGCCUGUUGCUUGGUCGCGAAACGAAGAGAGGAGCGCAGCGCGUGAAUAUCACAUGGGGUGCACGUGGAUCAUCACCAUGCUCUUUGUUUUUUCUUUUGACAAGUCAUCAUGCUCUUUGGUUGUUUUCAGCAGCAGUGGUACGUAGUGCACUCCCCUGAGCGUACAUGCAUUGCAGUUAUUAGUGUUGAUUUAAGUUAACUUAGGAAAAGAACGAUGCAUACUAUCGAACAAUAAAGCAGCCGAUAUAUAUAACAUAGAGGCUCACAUAUUUCUAAGCCCCUCUCUAAAUCAUAAUUUAUAGAGUAACUUAUAUAAUUCGCUUUUUAUAUCUAGCGAAUUAGAUAUUCGCCUCUCAUGUGCACUCUAGUAAGUCAAUCUCGUUUUCUAUCUUUGACUUGUGAGAAAUCUGAAAUAAUAGAAAAUUUCUAUAUUUAUAAAGAAGUUGGAGAAUAUUUUUUCAUCAAAAUAUCUACUUCUAGCAAUUAGGAAGGGUAUAGACAUUCUAUUGGAGUUGCUCUAAGCAAACAUUAGUUAUUGUUUCAAGUCCAAAAUAUUUAAAUCUUAGGUGAUUCAUAAGAUGUGUUGAUGCAAAACUGAUCUGCAAACACAAAGUGCUAAUACCCGAUUCAAACGUUAAGGCGUGCCAGCCGAUUUGACCUUACUAUCGGCAAAGGUGAUAACUCGAAUACUUUAGUCCUGACAACAGCGAUGCGCCCGGAUGUCACGGCUAAGAGAUACUCACGCGGAACUCGAGAACACGCCGAGCUUAAGUCGACAAAUUCCUAAGAACUCGUAAUAAAAGGAAAAAGUAUGACGAAGUCGUCGAAAAGUAGAUGUUGGAAUAUGAGUAAAAACGUGUGUUUGAUUGAUUUCUUGAUUCAUUAUUACAAGGCCCUAGGGUCUAUAUUUAUACCCUGCUCAAAGAGCUACAACCAGACACGAUUAGAAUUCGAAUUCCAAAUUACACGGAAUCCGUAUACAAAACGACGCAAAUAAUUAAGGAAAUAACAAAACUAUCCCUCGUGACAAACCGAAACUCCUCCACAUAACGACCGGCAGCUUCCAGACUCCUCCUUUGCAUCAUCGGCAGAUCCUUUGCCGUAGUCAUCGGCAGACUUUCUUAUCUAGCCAUCGGCACCAUAUUACUGCCUGUGGACUUAGUCACAUUCAACUUCCCCCUCAUCGGCAACCAUCCUCAUCGGCAACCCGCUUUGUAAACAUCGUACUGCCACCUUAUCCUGCCAUCCUAGACACGUGCCCAAAAACGGUGUCAACACAUGCCCCCCAGUUUCGGAGUAUAAAACUAUUAAUGCUCCGAAAUUCUCUGCAGUAACGAUGCCUUCUCCCGCAAUUAAUGCUCCUAAUCUGGUAACCGACAACCUCAAUCUGGACAACUCUGAUCCUAAUCCUCCGCAGAUUCCUCGAAAUCCCCAACUUCCUAAACGGGCAUUUUUCUCAGUCGUACAUCGGCAACAAUACCGUUACAAAGAUCUGCCGAUGCUCUGACCAGGAUAUUCGCAAAAACGGUUACUUCCCCCCUAUCCGCCCAUCGGCAAGAUGACCGUUAUAGAAUAUCGCCGAUGGACCGACCAGGAGAUCUCGCACAGUAAAAUAUCUUCAGAUAAUGACCGCUUCCCAUCAAAUCACCUGCAGAAUCCCUGGAUUACCGUGCGAACAGUUACCAUAUCCACCUGAGUACCCUCGGG
RNAcentral lists this long non-coding RNA (42953 nucleotides) under Sorghum bicolor (sorghum). RNAcentral describes it as "long non-coding RNA (SBIC_LNC001837)". The stretch from base 30514 to 30610 matches the Rfam family "Small nucleolar RNA Z119". The record is from RNAcentral. Lineage: Eukaryota; Viridiplantae; Streptophyta; Magnoliopsida; Poales; Poaceae.